Molecule: ribosomal RNA, 780 nt
Filed under: Echinostomatidae sp. JAM2049225
Lineage: Eukaryota; Metazoa; Platyhelminthes; Trematoda; Plagiorchiida; Echinostomatidae
Description: eukaryotic LSU rRNA
Rfam family: Eukaryotic large subunit ribosomal RNA
Source: RNAcentral
CGGCGAGUGACAGGGAUAAGCCCAGCACCGAAGCCUGUGGCCGUUUGGCCCCUAGGCAAUGUGGUGUUCAGGUUAGCUCGCGGGGAUGCUGCUCCACCCUAAGUCCUAUAAUGAGUAAGGUUACUCGGACAUGGCCCACAGAGGGUGAAAGGCCCGUGGGGGUGGAGAGUCAGAUUGGCCAGUAUCUCCCUGAGCAGACCUUGGAGUCGGGUUGUUUGUGAAUGCAGCCCAAAGCGGGUGGUAAACUCCAUCCAAGGCUAAAUACUUGCACGAGUCCGAUAGCGAACAAGUACCGUGAGGGAAAGUUGAAAAGUACUUUGAAGAGAGAGUAAACAGUGCGUGAAACCGCUCAGAGGUAAACGGGUGGAGUUGAACUGCAAGCUCUGAGGAUUCAGCUGGUGAGUUUGGCAUGAGCUUGGUCAUGUGGGUUGUGUGUUCGGGUCUGCUUAGCUGCAGGUCCUCGCCUUUGGUGGGGAUGCGCGUAUCGCUUAUCAAGCGUUGUGCGCCCGUUCUUGUCGGACCUGCUCGCCAGUGCACUUUCUCAGAGUGUUCACCACGACCGGCGUUGUCGUCUGGCUGGUGCGGUUAAACCGGUCUUGUAGGGUCCUUGUGACCUUGCCUGGUCGGGAUGGCAGGUAGCCCGUUGUGUACUUCGGUGUGCUUCGGGUGUAAUAGCCGACUGCAUCGGUUCUGUGCGGUACGUCGGAGACGGCGGCUUGUUGUGCGUGCGGGCGUGCCUGUUGCGCUGGCGGCUCUGGGUCUGGUUGCCUUGUUGCUUGU